GCUUGACCUCAAAUCAGGUAGGACUACCCGCUGAACUUAAGCAUAUCAAUAAGCGGAGGAAAAGAAACCAACAGGGAUUGCCUCAGUAACGGCGAGUGAAGCGGCAAAAGCUCAAAUUUGAAAUCUGAGGCUUUCAGCCCCCGAGUUGUAAUUUGAAGAUGGUGUUCUGGCGCCGGCCCCCUGUCUACGUUCCUUGGAACAGGACAUCGCAGAGGGUGAGAAUCCCGUCUGGCGGGGCGGCCUGGCUCCGUGUAGAGCGCCAUCGACGAGUCGAGUUGUU
Molecule: ribosomal RNA, 280 nt
Filed under: Williopsis jadinii
Lineage: Eukaryota; Fungi; Ascomycota; Saccharomycetes; Phaffomycetales; Wickerhamomycetaceae
Description: Cyberlindnera jadinii partial 28S ribosomal RNA
Rfam family: Eukaryotic large subunit ribosomal RNA
Source: RNAcentral